GCCCAGGUGGCGGAAUCGGCAGACGCGCUAGCUUGAGGGGCUAGUGCCCGUUUAGGGCGUGGAGGUUCGAGUCCUCUCCUGGGCA
RNAcentral lists this transfer RNA (85 nucleotides) under Chloroflexota bacterium. RNAcentral describes it as "tRNA-Leu". It matches the Rfam family "tRNA". Rfam says of the family: Transfer RNA (tRNA) molecules are approximately 80 nucleotides in length. Their secondary structure includes four short double-helical elements and three loops (D, anti-codon, and T loops). RNAcentral also lists the same sequence under 2 other names. The record is from RNAcentral. Lineage: Bacteria; Bacillati; Chloroflexota.